CCUACGGGAGGCAGCAGUAGGGAAUCUUCCACAAUGGACGAAAGUCUGAUGGAGCAACGCCGCGUGAGUGAAGAAGGGUUUCGGAUCGUAAAACUCUGUUGUCAGAGAAGAACGUGUGCGAGAGUAACUGUUCGUGCAGUGACGGUAUCUGGCCAGAAAGCCACGGCUAACUACGUGCCAGCAGCCGCGGUAAU
Molecule: ribosomal RNA, 194 nt
Filed under: uncultured bacterium
Lineage: Bacteria
Description: partial 16S ribosomal RNA
Rfam family: Bacterial small subunit ribosomal RNA
Source: RNAcentral